This 343-nucleotide unclassified non-coding RNA is filed under the name Ixodes scapularis (black-legged tick). RNAcentral's name for it is "zinc finger protein 239-like, transcript variant X3". Lineage: Eukaryota; Metazoa; Arthropoda; Arachnida; Ixodida; Ixodidae. The record is from RNAcentral.
ACUGCCCAUACCACGCUGGGGAGUGGGAUCCCCCGUUACAAAGGGGUUAGCCGUAUUUCUAAAGCCAAAGUCAAGCCACUGGCUAAGCCCGGAUAAUACUUUUCCCGCGUAAAGUUUGUAUUCGCGAUGUUCGCAUCGAUUCUUCGUUUUUUUUCGCCAGUUUCUUUUGCAGUUUUGUUUCCGUUCAAGUCCGCCUAAGUGUUCCUUUUCAAUCGGGGGGAUGGCGUCGGAAGCGGCAGAUGACUCGGAACGUGGCCGAGCUAACCGGAACUGCUCUUAAAUGUGAGCAACCCUUCGCUGCCUAAAAAGGAGGGGCAGCCACCAGCUAGGUCAACUUCUGCAG